Molecule: long non-coding RNA, 932 nt
Filed under: Homo sapiens (human)
Lineage: Eukaryota; Metazoa; Chordata; Mammalia; Primates; Hominidae
Description: non-protein coding lnc-CPN2-4:60
Source: RNAcentral
GCGGCCGCCUUCGGAGCGCCGCCCUCCUCCCGAAACCGGCCGGGGCGAGUGGCUGCAAGAAGCUGCGGUUUGGCCCGCGGGAGAGGGGGGCUUCCCCGCUGGGGUUGUCUGACGCGAACGCCUUCCUGGCCCCAGCCAGGCGCCCUGAGAGAGCUAAUGCUGGCAGCUGUUGGGAUGUCCUCUUCCAGGAAUGGUGAUGAGUUUCCCUGGAUCCAGCCCUGGCUUGGCUGAGAUGAUGAAGGUUUAAGAAGCAGCAUCAUCAGCGAACUGUGUUUUGAAGAUUUGAGGGAAGGGCUGACCUCAGGAUUUUAUACUAGGUAUUUGAUGCAAUGCAGACUGGAAUCCUCCCCACAAGGAUGCCCUGGCCUGAGUGGCACAGAGAUCAAUGCAGCAGUCAUUUCCUGGGCGGGGAAAGCCCAUCCACAGUGGCCCUGGAAUGAUGCUGGUCUUACCUUCUAUUCCUAGGAAGGCCCUAUCUCAAGUGGCUCUGGUCCAUGCAAACAGAUGGAAACGGGUGUGGGGAAGCACAGGCCUCCUACUCAUGUUAAGAGAGCUGCUCAGAGGCAGGAAUCCAGAACCAGGAAUGUCCCCAGUGGCUGCCCAAGGUACAAGUGGCAGGCAGCGGGGAGAAUGGCAUGUGAAGUCAUUUGUAACCUGGCCCCAGCUUGGUUUCCAAGUCUCAGAGGAGAUUAUGGAUAUGGUAGUGCCUGGCUCAGUGCUUAAAAUCCAUUCUCCUGCUAUUUCCCUCACCUACACUCAGCCCCACAAGCCGAGAUGUUUGCUGGACAUUUCAGGCACUGCCACCCAGUUCUGUCUACCUUACCUGCUAACACCUGUUGACCAUCCUUCAUGUGAAGGCUUCCCCAAAUACUUCCCAAUCAAAACACUAAAAGGCAGACCUGAAAUUAAUAAAAAUGUUAAUUAAAUCUGUA